GAUGAACGCUGGCGGCGUGCCUAAUACAUGCAAGUCGAGCGAACGGACGAGAAGCUUGCUUCUCUGAUGUAGCGGCGGACGGGUGAGUAACACGUGGAUAACCUACCUAUAAGACUGGGAUAACUUCGGGAAACCGUAGCUAAUACCGGAUAAUAUUUUUAACCGCAUGGUUCAAAAGUGAAAGACGGUCUUGCUGUCACUUAUAGAUGGAUCCGCGCUGCAUUAGCUAGUUGGUAAGGUAACGGCUUACCAAGGCAACGAUGCAUAGCCGACCUGAGAGGGUGAUCGGCCACACUGGAACUGAGACACGGUCCAGACUCCUACGGGAGGCAGCAGUAGGGAAUCUUCCGCAAUGGGCGAAAGCCUGACGGAGCAACGCCGCGUGAGUGAUGAAGGUCUUCGGAUCGUAAAACUCUGUUAUUAGGGAAGAACAUAUGUGUAAGUAACUGUGCACAUCUUGACGGUACCUAAUCAGAAAGCCACGGCUAACUACGUG
Molecule: ribosomal RNA, 496 nt
Filed under: uncultured bacterium
Lineage: Bacteria
Description: partial 16S ribosomal RNA
Rfam family: Bacterial small subunit ribosomal RNA
Source: RNAcentral